Molecule: microRNA precursor, 84 nt
Filed under: Bombyx mori (domestic silkworm)
Lineage: Eukaryota; Metazoa; Arthropoda; Insecta; Lepidoptera; Bombycidae
Description: mir-2807 microRNA precursor family
Rfam family: mir-2807 microRNA precursor family
Source: Rfam by way of RNAcentral
UUAACUCAAAUUUGUAUGGAAUGGGAUCGUUUGCCUACGUUUGCCGCUAGGGGCGCUGUUCCAACUGCAUACAAAUUUGACUUA